Molecule: non-coding RNA, 183 nt
Filed under: Vibrio hippocampi
Lineage: Bacteria; Pseudomonadati; Pseudomonadota; Gammaproteobacteria; Vibrionales; Vibrionaceae
Description: Lysine
Rfam family: Lysine riboswitch aptamer
About the family: Riboswitches are metabolite binding domains within certain messenger RNAs that serve as precision sensors for their corresponding targets.
Source: RNAcentral
UUUUGAUGUAGAGGUGCGAUUGUGAAAAGUCCUUGUCGUUGGGGUGAUGCCAAUGAACGACAACAAAAGGCUCAGUCGCCGAAGUGAGAAUUGUCCAUCAAACAUUCUUGCUGGGGUUGUAUCCGAAAGGAGCAACACUGCCAUAGUCUAUUAUUUGUUAAACUAUGGAGCGCUACUGUAGGG